Molecule: ribosomal RNA, 248 nt
Filed under: uncultured bacterium
Lineage: Bacteria
Description: partial 16S ribosomal RNA
Rfam family: Bacterial small subunit ribosomal RNA
Source: RNAcentral
AUACGGAGGAUGCAAGCGGUUAUCCGGAUUCAUUGGGUUUAAAGGGUGCGUAGGCGGCUUUUUAAGUCAGUGGUGAAAUCCUGCCGCUUAACGGUAGAAUUGCCAUUGAUACUGAAAAGCUUGAGUACAAUUGAGGUAAGCGGAAUGUGUAGUGUAGCGGUGAAAUGCUUAGAUAUUACACAGAACACCAAUUGCGAAGGCAGCUUACUAAACUGUUACUGACGCUGAUGCACGAAAGCGUGGGGAGC